Molecule: long non-coding RNA, 939 nt
Filed under: Triticum aestivum (bread wheat)
Lineage: Eukaryota; Viridiplantae; Streptophyta; Magnoliopsida; Poales; Poaceae
Description: long non-coding RNA (TAES_LNC009804)
Source: RNAcentral
GCGGCGGCCCCUACGUGGAACUGAAGCGCGCGAAGGCGGGGCGCCGAUGGGUCGCCGGUCGGGCACGCGGGUGCGCGACCAGAUUCCGGUCCCUCCCUCGACGUCAAGCGAUGGGUACGCCGCGUUCAGAAAUUCCUCGACCCCAUCUAUCUACCUUGAUUUGAGCUAGAUGCCAUUUCGAUGUUGGAGGUUUGCAGCGAACCCACGCGUGCAGCCCGGCCGAGUUUGAGUAUCCGCCCUUUGUUGGGUCGCAUUACAUCUUUUCUUCAAGAUGUGCUUCUGCAACUGCUUCUAGAUUUAUGCAUCUCUUAGUUGGCGCUGGCAGGGAAAUGCGUGCCUGUACUUGCAUGACAGCAUCCACAUUUGGUCACUGAUAGUUAUUUGUUGGCUGUUACAGGUGUGUACUUCAGUUCACUUCGACUGAAGCUACGGAUUCAAGAAAUCAUCUGGUCUUGAUAGUGCCCUGGACAAGUCCAGAGUCCAUUUGAUUGUGGCAAGCGUCAUCUCGUGGCUGGCUUGGCUUCGUGGGGAACAGACAGAGUUGCCGGAUAAGCUGAAAGGCUCGACAACAAGUCCAGAGCUUAUUAGUACAACUGAAGUCCAAUCAGGUAAGGAAGCAUAUAUGCAUGAUGCUUGUAUGAAAAUCCGAGGUGAAAAGCACUUGGAUAUUUAUUAGCUAUUCCCAUAAAGCAGGAAGCAUGCAAUGUCAUCAGUAUGCUUACAAAAGAAAACAUAAAUAGUGCCCAUCCAAUUCACCCAGAUAAAUCUGUGAGCAGCAACCAACACCAGGGCUAUGCCACAUUAUAUCCGAAAGUGCUGAACAGAGCAGGCUAGUUAUUUUUGACACAUACAUAAACAAGCUAAACUGUUGAGGUGUUACAGACUGGGGGAUGAGAGAAAAUUCCUAAUAAUAAGAGGGAGAACAGUACGCGCAGGGGA